UGGAUAGUCUCACAUCACAAGGGAAGCC
This 28-nucleotide non-coding RNA is filed under the name Mus musculus (house mouse). The record is from RNAcentral. Lineage: Eukaryota; Metazoa; Chordata; Mammalia; Rodentia; Muridae.